Trachemys scripta elegans is the source of this 562-nucleotide long non-coding RNA. RefSeq lists it as uncharacterized. The record is from RefSeq and is a predicted model, not a curated record. The transcript has 4 exons. Lineage: Eukaryota; Metazoa; Chordata; Testudines; Emydidae.
UAGUUCUGCAAAGAAAAAAAAAAAAACCUCUGAAUACCCACACCAGAAUAGAAACUGGACAGUCGACUGAUUUGGAAAUGGAGAUAUCCGAAGUAUCUAUCUUCUCGCACACCAAAAGCAUGCAGCAUUUUCCGUACCUAUUUUAAAUACAACUUUGUCAGAAGACCAGUCAUCAUCAUCACCUUCCUCAGACGUCAUACUUGGAACGGAUGUCCUAGAUAUGAAGAUAUUACCUGCAAAGAAGAAGAAUUAAAAGAGUAUCUCUUACAACCAACCAGUGCCAUCCACCCCAGGCUAAUGCCCACGAGAGACCUGCCAGUUCAAACCCUACAGGCAACUUUAGAAGACCUACGGUUCAUAGCAAAGUGACUGAUAACAGAUGACUAGAGCGAUUCGCUCAAGAUCAUACAGGAUGCCUGUGGCAGAGCUGGGAACAGAACCCAAAUCUCUCUUCCCACUUCACAUAAACCACGAUACUACCCUUUAACUUCAGAAAGGCUGAUGAAAAGUAAGUUUUAGAUUUCUAUUUUAAGGUAUUAGCUGUAAAGCAGAUAAACACUUG